UGACCCCAACCAUGUCACCCAUUGACCCCAACCAUGUCACCCAUUGUCCCCAGCAGCGUCACCCAUCGGGUGUCCCCAACAGUGUCACCCAUUGUCCCCAACCAUGUCACCCACUGUCCCCAACAGUGUCACCCAUUGGGUGUCCCCAACAGCGUCACCCAUUGACCCCAGCCAUGUCACCCAUUGUUGUCCCCAACAGCGUCACCCAUUGACCCCAACACUGUCACCCAUCGGGUGUCCCCAACAAUGUCACCCAUUGACCCCAACCAUGUCACCCAUUGUCCCCAACAGCGUCACCCAUUGGUUGUCCCCAGCAGUGUCACCCAUUGUCCCCAACCAUGUCACCCAUUGUCCCCAACAGCGUCACCCAUUGACCCCAACCAUGUCACCCAUUGUCCCCAACAGCACCACCCAUUGUCCCCAACAGCGUCACCCAAUGUUGUCCCCAACAAUGUCACCCAUUGUCCCCAACACUGUCACCCAUUGUCCCCAACAGCAUCACCCACUGGUUGUC
This 514-nucleotide long non-coding RNA is filed under the name Numida meleagris (helmeted guineafowl). RNAcentral's name for it is "lncRNA (ENSNMEG00000001364.1)". The record is from RNAcentral. Lineage: Eukaryota; Metazoa; Chordata; Aves; Galliformes; Numididae.